AUCAAACGUCAUUCUUCCCGCUCUCUAACUAUCUCACUAUGCUUUUUGAACAUUAAGCCCUCGACGAUAUCCUUACUGACUUGAACGUCAAAUAAGUGUCAUCAAAGAAUCUUUAAUAUAUUUUAUCACCAAGACCAAAGAGACAUCCUUCUUCUUCCCCUUCCCCCUUUAUCAUUUGCUACUUGAAUUUCUAUAUAUGGGCUCUCCCUUAUCUGAUUCUUCUUCAGCAGAUCCUGAUUUGGAGUUGGAAGCUUCGAACACCUGACUGACUUUCUACUGGAACUCGUACACGAGGAGCUACUGCAGCAUCGACACUCGGCACAAGACCAAGACUAAGAACUAGAGCACCAACAACAGAUACAAACUUAGGCUUUCGAAAGGAAAGGUGAGCUUACAGAGCUCAACGUGUUGCGCUAACGGAGGGCGGUAGAGACGAGUAUUCCAAAUUCCAUUCUUAAAAGGGCGAACAUGAGUUUGUGCCAGCAGUCAGAAGUAGCGAGUUAGCUGGUAGCUUCGGAGUCGAGGAAUCAAUUAGUG
This 537-nucleotide long non-coding RNA is filed under the name Musa acuminata (dwarf banana). RNAcentral's name for it is "long non-coding RNA (MACU_LNC002089)". Lineage: Eukaryota; Viridiplantae; Streptophyta; Magnoliopsida; Zingiberales; Musaceae. The record is from RNAcentral.